UGAGAUGACGGCUCGACAGACGAGCAUAACCGGUCGGACGGGAGGGCAGGCGGGAGAGUAUGUCAGGUUUAGGUCGAACCGCACAGCGUUUCUCAGUAGUCGCGUUUCUAUACUCGGGUGGUGCGGUCGUGUCGCUUUCCUCGACGUUCCCAGUCUCUUGAUCUUGGUCUACAAUUUCCACUCUGUUUUUUCCCGAUUCGUAACCAACUACGUUUGCACGGAAUAACGGUAACCACCGAUUAGUCACAAAUCACUGGUCUGACGUCACAUUAUUAAUUCUGGACCGCGGCUCGAGAACGUUCCUGCGAAAUAUCUUGUUAGGCUCCGUCAUUCGCGAUUACAAUAAUCUUUCAGUAUAUUCCUUUGGUUUCUAUAAUUUGAUAUUCCGAUACAUGACUAUCAUCUCGUUACGUAAUUUCACACAGUGUGUGUCUGUGUGUGUACCUCGCAUUGUAAUUUGUACUUUUGUUACGUGUUUGCGGAUCUCGCACCGAAUUAUGAAAUAUUCAAGCUUCGAGUAAAUCACCAAAAUUGGUCUUGUCAUCGGAACACUUGAUACAUCUUUCACACUGAAUACGAACACAGUUGAAGGGAGCAGCGAAAUACUAGUUCUUUCUAUCGACGAGCAACGACGUCGAAAACGACGAGCAACGUUGCAAUAUUUCGGAAGCUGUGACAACACCGCAUCGGGAUAGUAUUUUUAUCGUAUAAUAGACGGAAUAAUUCCGUAUCAUGUUUAACUAAUUUAUAACGAAUGUACAUAAAUGAAUGUUUGUUUGCAUACCUUGUGCGAUAUAUGAAAUGUUUGUGCAAUAAAUGAUUGAUUGUUCGUUAAUGUAGGAAACGUGUUGCUUGAUUUUCUUCAAAGAUUGUGUUUCUAAAGUGUAAAGAAAUUGAACAAGUUUAUCUACUGAUACAGUCUAUCGAUGUUUAAAUGGAAACAUACGGUGUUUAAUAUCAACAGUGAUUUUAAACGUGAUAUGUAAAGAGCUCUCGAGUCUCCCGGCGUUACCAGCUUAGGAAUUGGAGCGUGCGGCGGCGCCACUUUAGAUUCUCUACAUCAGGGGUCGGAAAACUAUGGUCCGCGGGCCAGAUUCAGCCAAUCACAUUGCAGGUUGCAGUUUAUGUACGAGAAAAUUGCGAGGUGUUUGCGAGUCCAGGCGAACGUCUCACCCUUGGAAGUGUUUAAUAAAUUUAGGCGUUUCUUUCUUGUUUUCUUCGAUUUUCCGCGCGUCUGCGCACGUUGCGCAAUCUAUCGAGCCGUAGUGUCAUUGAGUUCUCAAAUGCAUAUGUAUAUGCACACUACUGUCCACAAGCAUCCCAAUACUUAAACGCUCACUGUUACUGGAUCUGCGAGGAAUACAAUAGCGAGGGAACCAUUAUCGAAGCCACGGAAUAGUCAACCGAGACGAUUUCUCAUAUUUCAGGCAGAUCCGCACCUGGGUAAAAUGCGGCGUCGCCAAUGUCAUUCUACCAAUCGGAAGCCUCGCGGCAUACGCGCGGCUGUGACGCGACAAUUUUUUUUAUUCGUCAUCGUACAGAGAUUGUCUGAAGUUAUGAGUCAGACGACGCUUACGAAAGAGGUAGGGGUCAGCGACGUAAAUUUCAGCGGGCAUCUUUGAAAAGAGAGAGUUAUUGUACCUAGACGACAUCAAGUGUUUACAUAUCAACGCGACGAAUUCAACUGACAUUUCUCUCCCAAAAGAAACUUCGGUCAAAAAAUCCGAUUAAUAGGCCACCGAAAACAUUCUUCGCAUGCUUUCGUCUAGCCAGAUGGUUAAAACUGACCACUGUGUGACGGUCGGUAAAAAGACGGCCGUCUUGCACGAUAAGAUAGAUCCGUUCCUCGCGUAUCGUGCACCAGAUUACCGCGAGUCGGCACCUGGUACAUACCCGUCUAACCGAGAGUUGUUCGAUCUUGUUCAAAUAAUCACGGUAAACAUCAGCAAUCGGAAGUGACAAUAAUAAUGCCGGACGAGUAUAGAAACGAAGAGGUAAACGAGUAACUACAUUAACGGGUUGUGUAAGUGGGCAGUCUACUAAGCGGAUGAGUAAUCAUAUAAAUAGACAGACAGCUGUCUAGGCGAAUACGCAAAUAAGCAGAUAGUCGGCCAAGCAAUUACGUGCAUAAGCGAAUGGAAAGAUCUACAAGAUAAGUAGAUAAAUAGACGAGUAAGUACGUGGACGUACUGUGGCAAGCUGUCAAGAGGAAAGGAUCGCGUCGCGACCGAGGGACGGAGGGGACGAGGGAGACAUUUUCUUUGCUUACUGAGGCGUCGAUGUAUCAGCAGUCGGCGAGAGAAAUUCACCGUGGCGGUUAAAGCGGACGGUAAUGCAGAUUGCAAGGUGAACUCUAGGCGGUUUCUGUUACCGCGAUGCAUUACACGCGUGGACUCUGCAUUUCCCGAGUUUUCGCUCUCAAGAGUCAUCUACACCAGUGGUGCGCAACCUGUCUAGCUGCUGGUAGACGGAUCGUGUUCAGAUAAAAUAAUGUUUUACCGCGGAACAACGUUACAGUUGUUCAAAAUAUUAUUCAGAAUUUUUAGCUAAUUUGCAUUCAGAAUGCGAAGAGUAACUAUCAAUUACUCACUUUUAUCAACUCCGUGUAACUUUUAGGUAGCAUGCUAAUAUAUCGAUAUUUCAUCGGGUAAUUUCAUUUUUUUCUUUUUUUUUUUCAGUUGACAGCAUUAUCAAUCAGAUAUAGUCAAGCAAACGCGUGACAAGUUGUCUGCAGAAAAAAUUCGUUCCAUAGAGAGUUAACAGAAAAUCACUUAAGCGGUAUUUGAACGUAUCUCAAAGUAUUUAAAGAAAUUUGAAAAAUUGUCGGUUUUACAGCUGUUUAAAGGCAUUCGAAAAAUGAUAACUAUCCAACUAGCUAACGGUUGAGAAUAAGCUUUCGUGGGUUUACAGGAAAAUCAUUUAAGUAUCGAAUUCAAAGUAAUUAAUAUAUGCCUUGUUUUUCUGAUACGUAUAAUUUUAAAAAUGUGAGAAAAAAAAAAAUUGUCAAUAUAGCCAUAUUGCCAUUUAUACUGUAACCUAUUAAUCGCGGUGGUCUACUUACAAUGGUCAGACAAGGCUUUUGAUAUCCCUAGUAACAUUAUGCGUAUCCAUUCAUGUACGAUCAAUCGAAGAAACAUAAUCGCGACAUCGUAUCAUAUAUAAUUACUGUUAUUACAUAUUACAUAACCUACCUAACUUUGUAUAGCGAAUAAUCGCAAAACAUGAUAUUCAUUUGGUGCAUCAAUUAUGCGUUACAAAUAAUUAUCUUAAUAGAUAAAUAUUGUUUUCUCGUAUUAAAAUUCCUCUUUGUACAAUGAAAUAUUUAUACAUGUAAUAUAAUUAAUCAUUCAUUCGUGAUAUUUAAUUAUAAUAUUAUUAGACAAGUACCAAUUUCCUCUGCUAUAUUACAACUUGCAAUUUUAAAUUCGUUAUUUUGGUUCAUGCACAGUGCGUGACAAUAAAUUCCGUAAAGAAUAG
This is an RNA transcript of Hylaeus anthracinus, 3477 nucleotides long. RefSeq lists it as uncharacterized. The record is from RefSeq and is a predicted model, not a curated record. The transcript is spliced from 5 exons. Lineage: Eukaryota; Metazoa; Arthropoda; Insecta; Hymenoptera; Colletidae.